GCUCAAUUGCAUGCAUGACUUCCGGUCCGAAGUGUUGUCUCGCGGCGGAGCGCUUGAGCUGCCGUGCCCCACUAUUAGCGUGCGCUACUCCCGUUGGCCUGCGUUGGUACCGCAUGUAGCUGUAGGCUCCUCCCCCUGUUAUCGUCAGUGUGCCGCCAAUCGAGUCAACAGGUAUAGUGUGUUUUAAUCCAGCAUUGGGCCCAUACGGUAAUUUCAAUAAUAAACAUUUUUACCAAUUGUAUACAUUCUGUUUUUAGAUGAGGGACGGCUACUGAGCAACCUGAACGGCUGAACCCUGCUGCUUUGUCUUUAUAUUUCGUCUGCAGUUUCAAUUACAGCGCCGUCCGCUGUUGUGUUUACAGCUUUGUCUGUUGUCCUUGUUUAUAGCGCUGUUUGUUGUCUGUUGCCUACAGCGUUGCAACAGAUUUGGCGUUGUGUUACCACGGCCGAAACCGUUACAGCCAUUUUUCAUAAGUGUGCCGCCUUGGCCAUUGGGUUUCUUUUGCUUUGAAUAUAGUUUGUUUAUUUACUUUCUUUUCUGUUUUUGAGCAAAGGAUAUUUUGUUUGGAUUGAUUGUUUGCCCCGUUUUGGUUUCGUAUUAGUUUUGUUUUAUUGUGUUUGAUUCUUGUCUGUUUUACUUUACAGAGGUCUGUGGUGGCGGCGGUGUCCCUUUUCUUCCUGUGUGCUGUGCUUCCCUGGGAUUUGUGUUUGUGUGUGUGAUUAUCAUUUACCCGGGUGAUUUAUAUUAUUUGGACCCUUCCCUUCGCUAGUCCCCCCAUUCACAUCAGCCUCCGUCAGAACAGUUUAUUGUGUGAUUAGUCCAUUGGAUUAAUUAAAUAAAAUAUAUAUUGUUAAAACUGUGAACCACGUCUCCUGCCAUUAGAGUCAACUUACUUGCGUGUCCUAAAUUAAAUCUUUGGGUGAAAGUCCCAAGGUGGCGUUGUCUGCAACCUCCUGAACACGGGCUGUGCUUGGUGUGGUCCCUAACGUGACCUCGCCCCACGCCCGCUUCUCCCCUCGCCCUGCCACACACUGAUGACAGCAAACGUAUAUAGAACGCAGAGUCUAUAGGACGUUAAAUUGCCAACUUGGCUUAUUCACUGCUGAAAGAACGAAAGGCAGCAGCUUUACUUUGUAAACUGCCAACUUAUACACAACUCGUAUGAGAUGUGGUGCUUUACUGCAAACGACUGUAUCAGUGUGUUUUAUCUACUGAUUAUACACAUUUUAUGUGUUUAGGCCAUUUAUAAGAUCUCGUUAACAUCACUAAAGGUAAUUUCCAAAUACAUUAAAGAAAAGAAAAAGACAAAAGCAAAGAGACUUUGCAGCAGUAGCACACUUUUAUUUGAACAGAGUGGGAGACGAAUCAGGGGCCGUAUUCACAAAGCAUUUUAUCUUACCGCUAGGAGUGCUCCUAACUCGCGCUAAACCAUUUUACGUAGGAGUUUUUUCUUAAAAGUUAUUCACAAAGCCGCUGAGACCUAGGCUACUCUUACUAAGGAUAAAUCACAAAGAGUGACCUAAGAGUGACGCGCCGUUGCUAUGGAUUACGUAAAUUCUCGUGCACGAGUUUAGAAGCGGUCAGUUCGGUGAUUGGAGCAAGGUACGUUUUAUUACUCUGUUUUCUGGGAAUAAUUGACGCAAGCAGAAACCAGAAAACAAGCCGUUUUUUCGUUUUGACAAGAAAACGAAAAUCAAGAUUUCAGUUUGUUUAUUCGUUUCUACGUUUUGUCAAAAAAACGAAAAUCAAUAUUUCAGUUUGUUUAUUCGUUUUUUGGUUCUUACUGAGCGAAACGAGUUUACCACUCAAUAUCUGGGGCCGUAUUCACAAAGGAUCUUAGGGCUAAAAGUAGGUCCUAACUGGCGAAUUUAGGAGUAACUCCUAAAAAUAAUGGGCGUGUCACUCUUAAAUUUAGGACUCCUAACUUUUUUCACUAAGAGCAAUUCACAAAGUAUUUUAGGACUAAAAGUAGCACCUAAAUCUAGGAGAGCUUAAAAGUCCUCAAGAGGACUCCUAACUCAGUAAGACCUAUUCACAAAGAAUCUUAAAAUGCCUGCGAGACGAAAUGUUAGGGUAUUCAACUUAUUGUGGAGUUAAUGCGCGAUGCAAUAACAUCCCCGACUAACAGGAAUAAUCCGAUUAGUCCCGAAAUAAAAUGUUAUAAAAAUUAUAAGUUAUAAAAAAAUAUAUAUAACUUAUAAAAAAUAAAAAUAAUUGCGCCAUCAAAAGACGAGGACGUGUUCGUCAAUAGUGGGAAAGAAAGUGCAUUCCAUCAACACGCAGGUUGUUUUUGAUGCAAAUUUUAACAUAGCCUACUGGAUGUUGUUGCAAAGUGGCCUGGAUCUUCAGCUACCCAUGAUUCGCGCAUUUUAAUGGUGAGCGGUCUGAGGCAGCUUUUUGAGAUGUACCAGUUGGGUGUCACUUGCUGGGUGACGGUGACUAUCCAUGCAAGACGUGGCUCUAGACACCCUACCUUAAUCCACAACCGGGAGCACAGUUAAAGUGUAACAUGUAAGUGAUUACGCAGAUUACGCUUAGUCCUAUGCGUAAAACACUAUUGGCUCUUUGCGAGCACACAAACAUACACGAAAUGUUGUGGAGAGAGGAAUUGGGCAUAUGAAACGUCGGUUUCAUGUCCUCCACGGCGAAAUACGCCUCACCCCAGAGAGGGCAAGCACAGUAAUCACUGUAUGUGCCAUUCUACACAACCUUUGCAAGCGGAGGAACAUUCCACAGCCAGACGAUGAUGAUGAUGAUGAUGGCGAUCAACAUUACAAGGAAUUUGGCCGUGUGGAACCGAGUGGACAGGCAUUUAGGGAUCACUUUGAAAACACAUUUUAGGUAAACACCUUGGCACAAAUCAGUCAACACUUGGGUAGUUCGUAACAUUUAUUUUCUUUUAGAUUUUACGUAUUUUUAUUGUUUGCUUUCUCUCUCUCUUGAACGUGCAGGCUACAACGUCAUUAUCGUGGUCUGCACAAAAUUGUCAUCAUGCGUGUAUUCUGCUAACUGCACUAUAACUACUUAAUUAAUUUCUAGCCUAGGCUAUUUCCUUGUUUUUCGGUGAUUCAGUGGGCUCGUCUGAACAACCAAUCACCGAACUGACCGCUUCUAAACUCGUG
Molecule: long non-coding RNA, 3123 nt
Organism: Gadus chalcogrammus (walleye pollock)
Lineage: Eukaryota; Metazoa; Chordata; Actinopteri; Gadiformes; Gadidae
Exons: 3
Source: RefSeq, a predicted model, not a curated record